This is a long non-coding RNA of Dreissena polymorpha, 1835 nucleotides long. RefSeq lists it as uncharacterized. Lineage: Eukaryota; Metazoa; Mollusca; Bivalvia; Myida; Dreissenidae. The transcript is spliced from 2 exons. The record is from RefSeq and is a predicted model, not a curated record.
CAGGGUUGAAAUAUUCAUUUCAAGGAUUCUGUUCAUGUGUUCUGUUUUAAAUGUUAUUAUUUCCAUAUAACGCAUUGUGUUUACCUGGGUUACUUAUUAAGCUGUGCUCCUGUGGCCAGUCUUAGAGUUAAAGUCAGUCAAGCAUGUGAGUUACACAUGUCCAGUUUAUAUAAUUGUUCAGUCAGGCUUGACCAGUUAUUUUCCCGCCCUUUCCUUUGUCUUCUGGUCACUUCUAACUUGAACACAGAGCUGUACACAUCUACUUUUAAGAUGUACAUUUAUAGUACAGAGUUGCCAUUACUUCAAUAUAAGGUUAGUUCUAUUUCUACCUGUUUGCAUUUACUCUUUCUUGUAUUUGCAUUGAGUUGUAUUUAUGUUGUGAGUUGAUAUAACUCAUAUUUGAUAAGUAAUUAGGUUAAAUUCAGAAAAGCAGCAUUGCCAUCCUAAACGUGCUAACGAUUCCUAUAAUUCACAGUUUCCCAUACUCUUCACAUGUAUAAUCUUAUUUGCAGCAGUAGCACAGCACCCGCAGAGAAUUGUAUAAGAUUGAGAGAGAGUUCCGUACACAUUCCACAAAUGUGACAUGGAAUUCGUAUAAUAAUAAAGACGAAUACAACAUAUAUUCGGGUGGUUAUUUUGAGCCGGGUACUGCCCGUUUAUAUUUGGCGCCCAACGUGUUUUGCGGACCCGAGAGGAAGAUGGCGGCCCGUGGAAAGCGGAGAAGUCGUGGAAGGGUCGUUGAGGACUGAGCGUACGUAGGAAGAGUCUUAUUGGACGGGUCGUUGAGGACGUAUCGGAAGUGGGAGUCGUUUAAUCGUGUAUUUAGAACAUUUCCGAGGAUUUAUAGUGCAAUAUCGUGUACCUACCGUGUGGACAAUUGUGAAGUGGACAUCUUUAAAUAUUUAUCGUGUAUCAUAUUCAGACUUUUAAUCCUGACUUUAAUUCAGAUUUUUAAUCCUGACUUUAAUUCAGACUUUUAAUCAUUUGUGGCCUAUAUUCAGCAUAUGUGUAUUCUUCACCUUUCUUCGUAACCGUGAGUAUAUGUAUGUGAGUGAGAGAGAGAAUAUAUUAUUUGUUUACCUAAUAUAAUUGAUUGCUCUAAUUACUUGGUGACGGUUACAUCUUUAUAAGAUCUAUUCUUCAUCCUUUAUCAACAGUUACUAAAAACAUUGAAAUGCUGCUAUUUUGAAUUUAUUCAUAAAGUGAUUAUAAAUUCAUUAAUUUUGUAACCAACUCAUUGCUAUCCCUUUAACCUCUUUAUUCUAUAAAUUCUCAUAUAAUCCCUUUCCCAGUGUCCAUACCUUUAUCCAGCCCUUUUACAUUUUGGCCUUAAUUCUAUUUAGUCCAUUGUAUUCCAUUUUAUUACUGUGUGAGUGUUUGUUUUGAUUUGCUGCAUUCCUGAGUUUAUGCAUUGCUAACAGUACAUCAGGUUACACUUGUUCACCUUGAUUAUACAUGAUUUGGUUUUGAUUGGAUAUAGAAUUCCCUAAUUUGCAUACUGAGUUUGGAUAUCAUCGCUUCCUUGGUUUUCAUUGGUUGACACAUGACUGAAUUUUUUUCACUGACAGACCAUGUGACUACUAUUUUACCUUAUAUGGAAGUUGUAGUAGAGUAGUAAUUCUCAACACAGUGUAGUAGUACAUGUACAUGUAGGUAAGGUCUGUUUUGGACAGAUGUCUCCCGUGUGAGCUGAUAUCAGGUAAAUCUGUUUACACAUUUGUGGUCGGCUUCUUUGGUUGUUAUUUUAGUUAAUUUGAUUUGUCUCAGGGCAUUGCAUUUUUAUUUUGGCGUUUAAUAUUUCUGAAGUUAAUACUUAUAACACAGUGUAGGUUGAG